ACGGGAGGCAGCAGUGGGGAAUAUUGCACAAUGGGCGCAAGCCUGAUGCAGCCAUGCCGCGUGUAUGAAGAAGGCCUUCGGGUUGUAAAGUACUUUCAGCGGGGAGGAAGGCGAUAAGGUUAAUAACCUUGUCGAUUGACGUUACCCGCAGAAGAAGCACCGGCUAACUCCGUGCCAGCAGCCGCGGUAAUACGGAGGGUGCAAGCGUUAAUCGGAAUUACUGGGCGUAAAGCGCACGCAGGCGGUCUGUCAAGUCGGAUGUGAAAUCCCCGGGCUCAACCUGGGAACUGCAUUCGAAACUGGCAGGCUAGAGUCUUGUAGAGGGGGGUAGAAUUCCAGGUGUAGCGGUGAA
Molecule: ribosomal RNA, 352 nt
Filed under: Enterobacter hormaechei
Lineage: Bacteria; Pseudomonadati; Pseudomonadota; Gammaproteobacteria; Enterobacterales; Enterobacteriaceae
Description: bacterial SSU rRNA
Rfam family: Bacterial small subunit ribosomal RNA
Source: RNAcentral